AAAUAUUUAAUACUCCUAUGAAGAAUUUAAAUAUCACCUUCGUUUAAAAAUCCUGUGAUUACCGAGUACUCGUAGAAUGUGUAUGUAUGGAUAGUUACCUACGUAGUUAGGUGUAUAAAAGGUAUUAUUCAUGCCGUGGCGCGUGGUAGUUAAUAAAAAUGAAUACUUAUUUUUUUCUCCAAUUAAAAUAAUCCAGUAUUCAUUUUAAUUUCCUCUAAUGUCUUUCAUAGCUGUCCACGUCCUUUCUAAUUUAGAAAACUUAAUUAUAGACCAAGCAAAUAGAAAUUGAACCAGUUAUUGCAUUUUUAUAUCACUUUAUGAAUUUAUAAUCAAGUAAAUGCUAUUGUGUUCACAAAGUGGUCUGCCUUGCGUGCUCUUACUAACAAUAAUAUUUUAAACCUUAAUUAAAGGCUGGUCGUAGUAGGUACCUUUACCUGUAAAUAGGGUAGGGCACCCGUAUCAAGUUCCCUCGUGUAAGUAGGCUCUUAUUUAUUCGCGACUUUAGUUCAUUUUCAUUAUUUGACAAUGGCUUCGCUUCCGCUUCGCUGUCAAAUACUUUAAGUGUAAACGUAAGCGGAUCUGAAAUCAGCGUCGGAUCGGACUCCGCGCUUACGGUUCGCUGACCGCAGGUUUGAUUAGUUUGAGAGCCGUAAGCUCGCGGACGACGAACCGUAUGCUUAUUGACGACCACGCAUGCACCGCCGCGGUUCGUGUGCUUGUCCCAAGCCGAGACGAUUAAGUUUUACUUACAGGGAUGCCAUGAAAAAUUAAACACUACUCGUAUUGCCAACGUAGGUUUUGGUAUUUUAUUCGUGGUUUAUAAUAUUUUAUACUUUCUGAAAACUGAAUAUCGUUGCCUUAAACUGAAAACCUCGGGGAUGCAUCAUGCAGUUAACUAUGGUCAUAAAAGCGGGUUUUUAAAUUUUACGCUAAAGAGGUUUUCACUCUUAGGCAUCGAUAUAAUGCGAAAAGCGGAAUAUUUGGUACAUUUACCCUAUGAAGUGUGAUCAAAGACAACGUCAGUGCCUCGCUGCGUAAUUCGCACCCUUCGGGAAAGUAAACACCUGUUUAAUGCACACGCAGCACUGAUCGGAACCGCUUAUCUACGGUGUACCUACUAAUACGAGUAGGUACCUACCUACGCCAUAUAGGUGGUACAGUAAUAGGUACCUAUUGACAGCCCAAAUACUCGCACAUUUUUGGAAAUAAAUGCUCCAAUCACGAUAUUAAUUUAACAGAGUAUUUCCAGCAUGCUCGAUUUGCUUUAAAUAAGCUCAUACUACAUAUUUUCAAUUUUGAUUAGAUCUGGACUAGGAUAAUAAAAAUCUUACAACCUACGUUAAAUCAAUAAUAAAUUCAAUAAAUUAUUUAUUGCGAACGGAUAAAAGGUACAAUAAGUUCUGUUUUUCUUACCAUUCUAUACACUGACUAGAUUAAGUACAAUCCUGUGCUAUAAUGUAAAUUAAGUAGUUAAACUAUGGUAAAAAUUAUAAUACCUACUUAAUCAUGAAGAAAGUUAGAAGUAACAUUACAGUUUUAAAUAUCAGCAAAAGAAAUAACAUCUUGGUUUAAUAAGAUUUUAUAUUUUUACAAAGGUAAGUAAUAAAAUUGUUUAUCGGUUACAUACCAAUUUUUAGCAACGACAUACCUAGUUCUCAGUGAAAAUCUAUAAUAAAAUGAAUCUCAAAAUGCUAAAUGUGUUGGUAAGCGUUUUAGGUUUUUACGGCGAGAAAAUUUCGAAUAAUUUCCGGGAAAAUCCUAAAAGCAGCCCAUUUUUCACGCGGGCAAAAAGGAUAAAAAUAUGACGUAAAUACAUAGGUCCAAUAAGUACCUAUAUCUAAAAUUGAUUGUUACAGACUGAAGCAUACCUUUACUACAAUCCUAUCACCCCGCUUGUAACACUAUGUAAUUGACUUAUUUAAAAUUCAAGUAAUUGCUAACAUCCUCAAACAAAAUAAUUUAAUUUAUAAUUACCUAUUGUAUGUACAAUAAGAAAAUGAGUUAGUACUUACUUAGGCUGGGUACCAUCUUACUUUCAUUUUUACAAACCUCAAAAGUCUGUCAAAAUCCAUACAAAAAACACCAGUUAACGUUAUAGUUACCUCAAAGUUAGGUGGUGCAACUCAGCCUUAAUGUCGUCACUCGGGUUUUAAGAAUAGGUAAUAUCGUACGUCUGAUAACCCAUUUUUCAAGUAGGUAAUUACUGCAUUUGAUCGAUGCAAUAUUGACGUCCGUUGAGGUUGAGGGUAAUAUGAUGUCAAUCAUGCUUGUCACCAGCACGUCACUGUAUGUAUUAAUUAAGUUGGUCGGCUUUCAACUACCUAUAAAUUAACCCAUAAUAUCUAAGGUAACACUUUACAUUUACCUGAUUAUUCUAAUUCCAAUUUAAAACCUGCUAUAUUAUGAACAUUUUUAAUAGUUAAAAUAAUUACUACUAAUACUGGAUUUUUGAACAUCUUAAGCCUACCUAAGUACUCUAUUUUUCCUUGGUGUCUUUAGUUCAACGUCAAAAAUGUAUUCUAUUCUAAGCUAAUUAAGUUAAUUGUUAAAUAAUACUUUUACUGCUGUCGCCAGUCACAUAAUAAUUAUUUUCAAUAUUAA
Molecule: long non-coding RNA, 2601 nt
Organism: Ostrinia furnacalis (Asian corn borer)
Lineage: Eukaryota; Metazoa; Arthropoda; Insecta; Lepidoptera; Crambidae
Exons: 2
Source: RefSeq, a predicted model, not a curated record